AAAUGACUCGGUAAGUCUACAAUUUAUUAUUUAUUAAUAAUAAAUACUCGCUUCAUUAAUUUCUUCGUUAUACAACUCUGUUUUCCCCAAUUUACCUUGUAAGCUAAUCGUACAAUAUGAACUGGUUAACAAUCACAUUGGGAUGAUAAUUCUAUUAAUAAAGGUUCAUCCAACUUCAGAUAAAUCAAGAGCUAAUAAAGAUAAAAUAUAUUAGACAUGACUUCCCAUCUUCUUUACUGUUCUUAGUUGAUGGAGAGGCAAUUACCCACCCAGUAGUGUGGCAGUUUAUCAUCUCUGAUAAGUCCAUGCAGUGGAAACAUAAAAUUUGACAGUUACUUUAUGUUGAAAUCACAAAAAAUUGGAAAAUUAGCAUCAAUUUCGAUUAUUAGAUAACGUUGAAACGUCAAAAUUGACUUUAAACAAUAUUAUGUGAUGUUGAAACAUGAAAAUUUAACAUGGAAGUAUCAAAUUUAAUUGGUACUUUAUGUUAAAUUGCCGAAUUGAGUAACGUUUACCUAAAAAUUGACAUCAAAUUCGA
This is a long non-coding RNA of Onthophagus taurus, 538 nucleotides long. RefSeq lists it as uncharacterized. Lineage: Eukaryota; Metazoa; Arthropoda; Insecta; Coleoptera; Scarabaeidae. The record is from RefSeq and is a predicted model, not a curated record.